RNAcentral lists this ribosomal RNA (355 nucleotides) under Ablepharus chernovi (Chernov's skink). Its description in RNAcentral is "partial 16S ribosomal RNA". It matches the Rfam family "Bacterial large subunit ribosomal RNA", at positions 2041 to 2605 of the family's 2925-position model. The record is from RNAcentral. Lineage: Eukaryota; Metazoa; Chordata; Lepidosauria; Squamata; Scincidae.
AUUGAUCUUCUGGUACAAAAGCCAGAAUAUUUACACAAGACGAGAAGACCCUGUGGAGCUUAAAAUUUAUAGCUAAAUAAAAACUAGUAUCAAUUUUGAGUUGGGGCGACUUCGGAACAAAACAAAACUUCCGAGCUAGGAGACAACUCACCUCCUAAUAAGGCCAACAAGCCAAUUAAACAGACCCAGUCACACUGAUCAACGAACCAAGUUACCCCAGGGAUAACAGCGCAAUCCCCUCCAAGAGUUCAUAUCGACAAGGGGGUUUACGACCUCGAUGUUGGAUCAGGACACCCUAAUGGUGCAGCCGCUAUUAAAGGUUCGUUUGUUCAACGAUUAAUAGUCCUACGUGAUC